This is a long non-coding RNA of Homo sapiens (human), 248 nucleotides long. RefSeq lists it as uncharacterized. Lineage: Eukaryota; Metazoa; Chordata; Mammalia; Primates; Hominidae. The transcript is spliced from 3 exons. The record is from RefSeq and is a predicted model, not a curated record.
GCUGUGCAGGAAGCAUGAUGCUGGCAUCUUCUCAGCUUCUGGUGAAGCCUCAGGAAGCUUCUACUCAUGCCAGAAGGCAAAGCAGGAGCAGCAGGUCACAUGGCAAGUGACUGGAAGGCAGCUGUAUUUAAAUUUCUAUAAAGAUCAGAUCCUCUAUGGACAUCUUUUACUGAGUAACAAAUCUGAAGAAAACAUGGUGAUAAGAAGAAAGAUGCUCCUCCCGCCCCACACAUGCCCAGAUAUCCAGG